Molecule: ribosomal RNA, 381 nt
Filed under: uncultured eukaryote
Lineage: Eukaryota
Description: partial 18S ribosomal RNA
Rfam family: Eukaryotic small subunit ribosomal RNA
Source: RNAcentral
CAAUAGCGUAUAUUAAAGCUGUUGCGGUUAAAAAGCUCGUAGUUGGAUUUCUGUCAAGGACAACUGGUCCGCCCUUCGGGUGAGCACAUAGUUUGGUCUUGGCAUCUUGUUGGAAACUGUUGCUGCACUUGGUUGUGUGGCGCAGCGUCCAGCACUUUCACUUUGAGGAAAUUGGAGUGUUUCAAGCAGGCACAUGCCUUUGGACACAGUAGCAUGGAAUAAUUAGAUUGGGCUUUUGCUCCAACUUGUCGGUUUCUGGAGCUGAGGUGAGAAUUAAUGGGGAUUGUUGGGGGCAUCCGAAUUUAGCCGUCAGAGGUGAAAUUCUUGGAUCUGCUAAAGACGGACAAUUGUGAAAGCGUUUGCCCAGGAUGUUUNCAUUGA